RNAcentral lists this ribosomal RNA (253 nucleotides) under uncultured bacterium. RNAcentral's name for it is "partial 16S ribosomal RNA". It matches the Rfam family "Bacterial small subunit ribosomal RNA", at positions 524 to 776 of the family's 1533-position model. The record is from RNAcentral.
UACAGAGAGUGCGAACGUUGUUCGGAAUUACUGGGCUUAAAGCGCACGUAGGCGGCGCCGCAAGUGCGGGGUGAAAUCCCACGGCUUACCCGUGGAACUGCCCCGUAGACUGUGGUGCUCGAGGAUGGUAGGGGAGAGCGGAACUCCUGGUGGAGCGGUGAAAUGCGUAGAUAUCAGGAGGAACACCGGUGGCGAAGGCGGCUCUCUGGUCCAUUACUGACGCUGAGGUGCGAAAGCUAGGGGAGCAAACGGG